Molecule: long non-coding RNA, 2399 nt
Organism: Dreissena polymorpha
Lineage: Eukaryota; Metazoa; Mollusca; Bivalvia; Myida; Dreissenidae
Exons: 2
Source: RefSeq, a predicted model, not a curated record
ACUUGAAAAUGUGUGUUGCCAGAUACCAAGUAAGAAAAAAAUCAGCAUUUUUAUGUAGGGCUUUCACACAGUAAAAUUGUUUGUGCCCAAAUAAUCAUAGAUGAAUGCAUAUUAGGCUUCAAUGUUGCUUAUACUUUGACUACUGGUUCAUACGAUGCCAUUUUUAUAAAUAUCUAUGCCAAAUUUAAUGAAAUAGACUUGAAAAUGUGUGUCGCCAGGUACCAAGUAAGAACAAAAUCAGCAUUUUUAUGUAGGGUCUUCAUACGGUAAAAUUAUUUGUGCCCAAAUAAUAAUAGAUGAAUGUAUAUUAGGCUUCAAUGUUGCUUAUAUACUAUGACGACAUGUUCAUACGAUGCCAUUUUUGUUAAUAUAUAUGCCAAAUGUAAUGAAAUAGACUUGAAAAUGUGUGUCGCAAGAUACCACGUAAGAAAAAAAAUCCGCAUUUUUAUGUAGGGUCUUCACACUGUAAAACAGUUUUAUACGUGGACAUAGCAUUUUCAUGGAGCCCGUAAAGAAAGGGAGUUAAUUGUGUAAUUUGUGCUGAUCAGAAACUUAUAACAGUCGUCUCCCUUGAAAUAUUUGCACUUUAUGAGACACCACAAACCAUGGCGUCUCAUCAGGAUCCAAACUGUAUUCUAAAUCGUCACACUAAGCCCUCAUAAGUUAUUCAUUGUAUAUGCACUAUAUAAAACAACCAUAUAAUAUAUCUAAUAUAUCCAGACACACGUAUUAUACCCAAAUAUUAGAAAUACACAAUUUUAUAACAGUAAAAAACAAUGGUAUUUCACAAACAAUUGCAGUCGUUAAUAAAUGCAGAAAAGCAUCAUCUACACGUUUCAUACGGUAUUCAGUUUAUAUGCAAACGCAUUUAAAUAUAUUUACCUCGAUACUCGACCAAGCUGUUGAAAAAUUAUAUUAAUUAGAACGAGAACAAGUAAGAUUAAUGUGUUGUUUUCACAUUUCUUUAAAUGGCUGCCAAUACCGCAUGUAAUAAAACAAUCGAAGCGCAUGCGCAUAAUAUAUGUUACACUCCACUAAACUAGUUGCAGCAAAGACAUUCACAGGCGUUCAUGUCACUUAUAUUCAUGAUAUUUCCAUAUGCGAGUGUGAUUGUAAACACAAGUUUCUGAAAACAGUGCGAAAAGGGGCAUUACGCAAAGCCAAUAAAUCUGCGCAGAUUUUUGUCAAUAUUGACAAUAAACUGCAUGUUUUCUUACCGUUAGUAAUCCGACAGUCCGUUGGUCACAUUGUGCAUUAGUCCGUUUAAGUUAUUAUUGCCUUACACUUUUCAAUAUAAAUUUAUGAACUUUAAACAAAAUAAGUAACUAACUAAGUAACUAUUUAACUGACUAACACGCGCGUUUUUUUCCCAAUAUCCGAGACAUUUUACUUUCGCACCUUGCCCUCAAUGUCUGGCUUUUAAAGUUUACCGCCUUUUUGCGAAUACAAUGACGUUUACAUAUGAAUUGCCCAAUGAAAAUUUCGGCGGGAUGACGUCAGGCGCCAAAACUGGCGCGUGGUUUUUCCCGGUAUAGACCCAGUGUGUCAACGCUGUAAAUGCAUUGUGGGAAACGGACUAUUUCCAGCAUGGCGCCCGUAAAGAUUAUGAACACGGAAGUAAAAAUAGUAAUAAAUUAUUAUCAAAAACAGGCCUCAUCAAACCGGGUCAGCCAUGAUAUAUUCUUGGAUGCAGUUUGUGCUUCAAAAGGAGCUACUUUUCAUGCCAGCCUAUCGAUACUAUGUGGGAACUGGGAUUCGGGAUGCUCUCCCACUGGUAUCAUAUGCAGAUCAGUGGUCACAAGAACGUACACAACAUCAUUAAUGUCAGCAAUAUAUAUCUCCAACUUCAAACACACAGCUUGCAAAAUCGCUGAAUAUUGCACAAAAGCAGCUUCGUUACAAACUUCCAGCAACUCGAAAUCCACAAGCAGUCUCGUUCCCCACCCACUUUGACUUCGUAGCGAAGGCAUGUUUUUUUUGGGAAACCGUUAACAUCUCACAACUAAACGUAUACUACGGAGAUUGACAAGUUGAAAAAUAAAUUACUGUAAUCACUUCCAAUUUGCGCACUAAGUUAAACUCCAGUUCCAGUUUGUCUUUAUUGUUGAAAUGUUACUCUACACAUUCGCUUUGAAAAUAGAGGUUGGCGUGUUGUUGGAAGUACAUGUACAUGUCGAAUGUGUUAUUGUAAAAACUAUUGGUAUUGUGUUUUUAGUGCAGACAUUGUAUUUAAGUUUCGAUUUCUAGCAUAAAUUUAUAUAUUUUGUUAAAUAAUUUGCGUUUGAAUGUGAUUGUUUGUUGCUUACUUGCGAACUAUUUUUUAUGUGUAAAUAUGCAUAGACGCUAGUGGAUAUGUAAUCAGGUUACCAUAUUUACAACAAUAAAAUUUAACGGCUGUU